Rhinopithecus roxellana (golden snub-nosed monkey) is the source of this 1484-nucleotide long non-coding RNA. RefSeq lists it as uncharacterized. Lineage: Eukaryota; Metazoa; Chordata; Mammalia; Primates; Cercopithecidae. The transcript is spliced from 4 exons. The record is from RefSeq and is a predicted model, not a curated record.
UGUCUACCUCUGGCUAGCAGAAGAAACUGACUGGUGUAUCACAGAGAUAGCUAAGUAAUGAAGAACAAGAUGAACUGAGUGGAAUGAACAGCUGUUACAAAUGGAGAAACUAUCAAAGAGCAGUCUAAUUGAAGAGCAGUGUAGUGUAGCAGUCAAGAGCACGGAUCUGAAAUCAGACCAGCCUGGAUUUAAGUUUUGGCUCUACCAUUACCCAGAUGUUUCAUCUUUCUCCAAGUUACACACUCUCAGCCUCAGUUUUUUCACUCAUAAACAAGCAUAUAAGGAUAAUAACCUGCCUCAGGUUGUAAGGAUUAAAGGGAACUUACAUAAAACCUAUAAUGAAUCUGACUCACUAGGCUCUUAAUAAAUAGUAGCUCCUCUUAUAAGCAGAACAGGGCCAAGUAGUAAUUACAACUGAGAAGAGAAAAUGCUGUUCAAAGCAAGAUGAAAAAGGUGAGUAAAGUCCCUUAGAGAGCUCAGCCCAACAGGAUUUGAGAUUCUCAUUCAUUCAUACCCUCUCUCCUUCCCUCCCUUCUCAUUUUUCUGCUUCAACUACUUCCCUCUUUUCCUCUCUCUCUACCCACCAAAUAUUAUGCUAGACUCCACAUGCAGCAUGUCAUUUUAUCCACCUUGAGCUUGCUUUUGCCCUGCUCUUCUCGCUGUGGAAUUCUCUUCCUCCUGUCCCUCCCUUCACCCCUGCUUCCUACUCUGAGCUUCCUUCUCCAAGUUUGCUCCUUCUUUCCAUCAGGUGUCACUUUAUCACCACCUCCUCAAAGAGGCCAUGUUCAUGUCCAGGCCCAUAAUCUCAAGUAGCCAUCCUGUGAUUCUGUAUCAUAUUAUCCUUUUUAAACUCUGUGCAACACUUACUACCUCUGAUGUUUGUCUUCUUUAAGGAUUUGAUUGCCUCAUGUGACAAGCCCAAGAUCUGUGACAGUUGGAGCUCAAACUAGGCAGUCUUGAUUCCAGACUCCUCUAAACUAGUAUUUCAAGGAACUAAUGCCCAUGACAUGUUAAAUGGAAGUUUGGGGACUUACACUCAGGAUGGAAGCAGGGGGACACAGCAGAAAUGAAAGAAUUUUCUGUGGAUCUGAGAUCUGGACACCUGCCCCCCUCAUGCACCCUCAGUCAUCACAAUCAUUAGACUGGACGUCUGUCUCCAUGAAGAAUAUGUGAAUACCUCCGAAUAUACUUCCUGAAGGAGCUGCCAAACUGUUUCCAGCAAUGGCAAAACAUAGAAUGAAUCCAAGCCAUUUGACGGAUACUCACUGAAGACCUAUUCUAUGCCAAGCACUGUGCCAGGCAGAGGGAAAGCCCUCAUAUCGGACAGAGCUGGUCUUCUCCAGUAGAUCUUGUGAGACUUAUUGGCUCUCAUUCUCUCUUGCCACUGCCAUAUGGCCCCGCCUCUCCUGGACUUCCAUCUGUCAUCAGGAGAACAUGACCAUCUGGAGUCAGUACAGAUCAUCAAUCCUUCCACAUACACAAGU